GACGAACGCUGGCGGCGUGCUUAACACAUGCGAGUCGAACGGAAAGGCCCUGCUUUUGUGGGGUGCUCGAGUGGCGAACGGGUGAGUAACACGUGAGUAACCUGCCCUUGACUUUGGGAUAACUUCAGGAAACUGGGGCUAAUACCGGAUAGGAGCUCCUGCUGCAUGGUGGGGGUUGGAAAGUUUCGGCGGUUGGGGAUGGACUCGCGGCUUAUCAGCUUGUUGGUGGGGUAGCGGCUUACCAAGGCUUUGACGGGUAGCCGGCCUGAGAGGGUGACCGGCCACAUUGGGACUGAGAUACGGCCCAGACUCCUACGGGAGGCAGCAGUGGGGAAUAUUGCACAAUGGGCGGAAGCCUGAUGCAGCAACGCCGCGUGCGGGAUGACGGCCUUCGGGUUGUAAACCGCUUUCGCCUGUGACGAAGCGUGAGUGACGGUAAUGGGUAAAGAAGCACCGGCUAACUACGUG
Molecule: ribosomal RNA, 468 nt
Filed under: uncultured bacterium
Lineage: Bacteria
Description: partial 16S ribosomal RNA
Rfam family: Bacterial small subunit ribosomal RNA
Source: RNAcentral